UAGAAAUAAAAUAGAACUGAUGAUUUGAUUUAGUAGAGCGAUUAUAAAAUUGAUUCAAUAUCUAAAAUUGAUUCAAAUUUGGUAGUAAAAGAAGGACCUAUUUUUAUAUUGAGCAGAGUGGAGAGCGGAGAUGGGCAGGCAAUCUACUGCGCCGGUGAAGUUAAAUAAACAGAAAAAGAAAAAAAGAAACGUCAAGGCGGGGAAUCGGCAGGGAAUGCGCAUGUGCAGCUCGCCAACCAUACUUGUCUUGUGCGACAAAACCCGCCUCCAUUCCCAACUCUCUGUUCUGACGCGUUUCCUU
RNAcentral lists this long non-coding RNA (301 nucleotides) under Ricinus communis (castor bean). RNAcentral describes it as "long non-coding RNA (RCOM_LNC002259)". Lineage: Eukaryota; Viridiplantae; Streptophyta; Magnoliopsida; Malpighiales; Euphorbiaceae. The record is from RNAcentral.